GCUGGGUGUGGUGGUGCAUGCCUGUGAUCCCAGCUACUGAGGAGGCUGAGGCAGGAGGAUCACUUGAGUCCAGGAAGUCAAGGCUGCGGUGAGUGGUGAUUCUGCCACUGCAUUCCAGCCUGGGCCACAGAGUGAGACCCUGUCUCAA
This is an unclassified non-coding RNA of Pongo abelii (Sumatran orangutan), 148 nucleotides long. It matches the Rfam family "Metazoan signal recognition particle RNA". Rfam says of the family: The signal recognition particle (SRP) is a universally conserved ribonucleoprotein. It is involved in the co-translational targeting of proteins to membranes. The record is from Ensembl. NCBI's taxonomy places the organism in Eukaryota, Metazoa, Chordata, Mammalia, Primates, Hominidae.